CCGGUAACUGGGGUGAAGUCGUAACAAGGUAGCCGUAUCGGAAGGUGCGGCUGGAUCACCUCCUUU
RNAcentral lists this non-coding RNA (66 nucleotides) under Marvinbryantia formatexigens DSM 14469. Its description in RNAcentral is "Bacterial small subunit ribosomal RNA". It matches the Rfam family "Bacterial small subunit ribosomal RNA", at positions 1468 to 1533 of the family's 1533-position model. The record is from Rfam by way of RNAcentral. Lineage: Bacteria; Bacillati; Bacillota; Clostridia; Lachnospirales; Lachnospiraceae.